CCUACGGGAGGCAGCAGUGGGGAAUAUUGGGCAAUGGGCGCAAGCCUGACCCAGCAACGCCGCGUGAAGGAAGAAGGCUUUCGGGUUGUAAACUUCUUUUCUCAGGGACGAAGCAAGUGACGGUAGCUGAGGAAUAAGCCACGGCUAACUACGUGCCAGCAGCCGCGGUAAUACGUAGGUGGCAAGCGUUAGCCGGAUUUACUGGGUGUAAAGGGCGCGUAGGCGGGGAAGCAAGUCAGAUGUGAAAACCCGGGGCUCAACCUGUGGCCUGCAGUUGAAACUGGUUUUCUUGAGUACUGGAGAGGCCGACGGCAUUCCUUGUGUAGCGGUGAAAUGCGUAGAUAUUAGGAGGAACCCCAGUGGCGACGGCGGCUUACUGGACUGUAACUGACGUUGAGGCUCGAAAGCGUGGGGAGCAAACAGGAUUAGAUACCCCUGUAGUC
Molecule: ribosomal RNA, 443 nt
Filed under: uncultured bacterium
Lineage: Bacteria
Description: partial 16S ribosomal RNA
Rfam family: Bacterial small subunit ribosomal RNA
Source: RNAcentral